Molecule: non-coding RNA, 83 nt
Organism: Myotis lucifugus (little brown bat)
Lineage: Eukaryota; Metazoa; Chordata; Mammalia; Chiroptera; Vespertilionidae
Source: Rfam
AGGCCUGCAGAGAGAGAGGCAGGGUCUGAUCUGCAGCCUCAGUGGCAGCUGUUGAUCAGCCAUUGCCUCUCAUUUUCUCUCUG